Oncorhynchus tshawytscha (Chinook salmon) is the source of this 2983-nucleotide long non-coding RNA. RefSeq lists it as uncharacterized. The record is from RefSeq and is a predicted model, not a curated record. The transcript is spliced from 5 exons. NCBI's taxonomy places the organism in Eukaryota, Metazoa, Chordata, Actinopteri, Salmoniformes, Salmonidae.
UUUUGUAAUGGACUAUACAGUAGCAGUUGUAGAGAGCGAGAGAGAGAGGGACAGUGAGAGAGCAGGAAGAGGUAGACGAAACAAAUCAUCUGACACAGAGUUUCAAGGAAACUACGGGAAGAAAAAAUGAAGGACAGGGAGAGAGUGAGUGAAUAGAGGAAAACUUGAAUAACAACUUCAGAAAACAGCGAGAAAGUUGACCGACAGUGGAAUGAGUAUUAGGGUAGAACAACACUUCUAACAGUGGAGGAGUGAAAGGGAACCCCCGAGGACAACAGGAUGCAGAGUUUCUGGAUGGAAUGGGUCCCACCUGUAAAAAAGCCAAAGAAUAAAAGUCCAGAAGGAUAAACCCUCCCCUCCCUCCCACAAACAGAACGUGUCCCAGCAGUCGUACCCCUCCAGCACCCUCCUCAGAAUCUCAAAAACAACAGCCCCCUUUCCAGAGCAGAAAAUCACAUUUAAAAAUGGUGAGGUGAAGAGAGCUCCCAACUCCUCGCCACUGUUUGAGAAUGCAGCCUUCCAUCUUAGCUCUACUUCCUUCAUCCAUGCGAUCUCAAUCACCUGCUUACAUCCAGCCAAUCCCAGGCACCCCUUCCCUUCCAGUAACCAGAGGCUGACCUUCCGAAGGAGAAACCAGACAUUGGGGGUCAUCCAUGGGAUCCAGACUACUCAUACAUUAUCCCAGAAGGCAGUGGGGAAGGGAUGAAGCAUUUAAACACCACCGUCAACAGAUGACUGGUCAAUGUGCUUCAAAGAGACAUUCUUUGGUAGGCUUAAAGCUAGUAUAAAUCAGACAAUACUGGAAUUCAUGCUAUCCACAUAUUAAGAUGCCAACAAAACAAAGAGUCUUGCAUGUGAUGACAGAUGAAGAUAUGGAAAAGAUUAUGAUGACAACCAGAGCAUGAAUUGCACAGUGACAUUCAAAGUAGUCUCUAUUGAGUGCAAAAAAAUGUAUGGGCCUAAAAAUAAAGACAAUUUAACGGUAAAAAUGUUUUACCAUUUUAAUGUAGCAUGAACACAUCAGUCAUGAUACUUUCAUCUGAUUGCCAAACAAAUCACUUCAAAAAGUUGGCUACCUACCUGUGCCUUUUCUUCCACACCAAACUAAUCAAACAGUGCAAUGGAUGUACACUUGCGCCAUUAGAUUAAUGGAAUUAGAUAUCGGUUUACAAAACACCAAAAAGUGUGCCUACUGACAUCGGACGAUUGUCAUUGAUUAGGCCUACGUUAAUUGAUGCAGCUUACUGACAAAGUCACUUUUUUUGUAUCCUGAAAAGUCGGGACACCCCCCAAAUGGGUCUGAAACUGUCCAGGGAAUAACGGGAUAGUCAGCCGGUAGCCUACCUUCUCAGCAGAGGCAAUGUUACACACAUGAACACGUGCGGAACAGGUACCCUACAUUCAAUAUAAUACACCAGUUGAAUCAAAACAUGUUUGUACCAUAGUUCAUGAGUUGUCCAUAAUUCAUGAAUUGAAUGCUUGGAGUCUUCACAGAUCGUGUGACACAAAACACUACUUUCCUUUCCUUACAUUGACAUUCAUGACAGUGUUAUUUGUAAUUAUUAGAACAUCAGAACAUUGAAGUUAAAACCUGUAUGAUACCUGUAUGAAUCUCUGAAAAUGCACUGUAAGUGUAACUAUGCCUAUGUAACAUUUCAUUAUGUUUAGACGUAAAAACAGUUACCAAAAGAGUCAACUAUAGUCCUACUGUCAUUGAUGUUGGAUGGAUUGGAUGCACAUUCGUGUCUAGCUGUAGGAUAGUUGUCUAGUGAUAUUGGUGGCCAUCAUCCGCUGAUCCAGGAAAUAAAAUAUUGAUAGAAAAUAAUAAAGCAAAAUAAAUGGUAUACUUCUUAUGGCCACGGACGGCAUAGACAACACCAAUACCCGCGCGCACCUGAAAAACAAAGCAAUGAGCGCUCUAGACAGCUGACUGACAAAAGCAAACUGAUAAAUCAACAGAUACAUCUAAUGCAUUAGAAUAAAGGCUAUUUUUUUAAAUCAAGGACGAAUGGCAAACAAACAGCAAAAAUGAGCAAGUACAAGGGAAAAUCUAUGCGUUUAAAGGAGCUCAGCUGAGGUCAAAUUCGGCGCUACUAAGUGGUUAGCUCAGUGGACAUGGAGACGGUAUAUACAGCCACAUAGAAGUAAAUGGUUUAAACCAUGACAGAGUUGUUACAUUUGGAAGCUUUUAUUUUCAUAUUUACCACUGUAAAACAUAUUUGCAUUUAGAGGCGCUAAUGUCUCAUUCAGGGCAGCUGAGCCUCCCCCGGCUCCCCCGUAAUUUGCACCCUGAAGACAACCAGCGUUGACAUAUGACUCUCUAUACUUCUAGCUCCAUCCUUGCCACCAAGACCUUCCUUUGAGGUCCUGUCCAGAAUCCCUAGUCUUGUUGCCUGAUUCUUACAUGCUGACCAGACCAGACACGUCGCAUGCGCGAGCGUUGCAAAAUAAAUUCAAUUAUUGUGUUAUUCAACUUGUGUCUAAUCGUAGUGCUCACCAUAAAGGGCUGCAUAGAAGGCUGCACGAUUAAUCGAAUUCAGAUUGAAAUUGAGAUAUUGGCAUGUGCAAUAUCCAUAUCGCGAGUGGCUGCAAUUUUCUCCUUUCUUUGACACUUAAUACAACAAAAACUAGACUACAGUUCCUCCUUCAAUGAGAAGCGCUGAAGUCCAUUCAUUCACUCUACAUGCACAGAAGAUGCCAAUCACAAGCGGGCUCUCUCACUCGCUGCAUGGCAUGCACAUGCUGGCCAAUCACAAGCAUCCCCGCUUAGAGCAUGCAGUUAGAUGCUGGUGAGGAGAGAAAAGGCAAAACCUCAGCGUGUGUGUCGGAAACACGAGUGUGGUAAGGCUAGAUUAAAAGAAUGUGAUAGGAAUACCUCCAUAAUAAAUGUUGUUCUGUAUAAUCAAUAUUGUUUUGUUUUAAGUACAGUGGGGCAAAAAAGUAUUUAAUCAGCCACCAAUUGUGCAAGUUCUCCCACCAUAAU